Molecule: ribosomal RNA, 392 nt
Filed under: uncultured bacterium
Lineage: Bacteria
Description: partial 16S ribosomal RNA
Rfam family: Bacterial small subunit ribosomal RNA
Source: RNAcentral
AUACGGAGGAUCCGAGCGUUAUCCGGAUUUAUUGGGGUUAAAGGGUGCGCAGGCGGCCAUUUAAGUCAGCGGUUAAAUCGUGGGGCUCAACCCCAUUCUGCCGUUGAUACUGGGUGGCUUGAUUGCGGUCGAGGUUGGCGGAAUUUGUUGGGUAGCGGGGAAAUGCAUAGAUAUGACGAAGAACACCGAUUGCGUAGGCAGCUGACCAGACCGCAAAUGACGCUCAUGCACGAAAGUGCGGGGAUCGAACAGGAUUAGAUACCCUGGUAGUCCGCACAGUAAACGAUGAAUACUUGUUUUCGGCGAUAUAAUGUCGGAGGCAAAGCGAAAGCGAUAAGUAUUCCACCUGGGGAGUACGCCGGCAACGGUGAAACUCAAAUGAAUUGACGGGG